GAUGAACGCUGGCGGCGUGCCUAAUACAUGCAAGUCGAGCGAACGGACGAUAAGCUUGCUUCUCUGAUGUUAGCGGCGGACGGGUGAGUAACACGUGGAUAACCUACCUAUAAGACUGGGAUAACUUCGGGAAACCGUAGCUAAUACCGGAUAAUAUUUUGAACCGCAUGGUUCAAAAGUGAAAGACGGUCUUGCUGUCACUUAUAGAUGGAUCCGCGCUGCAUUAGCUAGUUGGUAAGGUAACGGCUUACCAAGGCAACGAUGCAUAGCCGACCUGAGAGGGUGAUCGGCCACACUGGAACUGAGACACGGUCCAGACUCCUACGGGAGGCAGCAGUAGGGAAUAUUCCGCAAUGGGCGAAAGCCUGACGGAGCAACGCCGCGUGAGUGAUGAAGGUCUUCGGAUCGUAAAACUCUGUUAUUAGGGAAGAACAUAUGUGUAAGUAACUGUGCACAUCUUGACGGUACCUAAUCAGAAAGCCACGGCUAACUACGUG
RNAcentral lists this ribosomal RNA (497 nucleotides) under uncultured bacterium. RNAcentral's name for it is "partial 16S ribosomal RNA". It matches the Rfam family "Bacterial small subunit ribosomal RNA", at positions 28 to 507 of the family's 1533-position model. The record is from RNAcentral.